RNAcentral lists this ribosomal RNA (491 nucleotides) under uncultured bacterium. RNAcentral describes it as "partial 16S ribosomal RNA". It matches the Rfam family "Bacterial small subunit ribosomal RNA", at positions 29 to 506 of the family's 1533-position model. The record is from RNAcentral.
AGUGAACGCUGGCGGUAGGCCUAACACAUGCAAGUCGAACGGCAGCACAGUAAGAGCUUGCUCUUACGGGUGGCGAGUGGCGGACGGGUGAGGAAUACAUCGGAAUCUACUUUUUCGUGGGGGAUAACGUAGGGAAACUUACGCUAAUACCGCAUACGACCUACGGGUGAAAGCAGGGGAUCUUCGGACCUUGCGCGAUUGAAUGAGCCGAUGUCGGAUUAGCUAGUUGGCGGGGUAAAGGCCCACCAAGGCGACGAUCCGUAGCUGGUCUGAGAGGAUGAUCAGCCACACUGGAACUGAGACACGGUCCAGACUCCUACGGGAGGCAGCAGUGGGGAAUUUUGGACAAUGGGCGCAAGCCUGAUCCAGCCAUACCGCGUGGGUGAAGAAGGCCUUCGGGUUGUAAAGCCCUUUUGUUGGGAAAGAAAAGCAGCAGGUUAAUACCCCGCUGUUCUGACGGUACCCAAAGAAUAAGCACCGGCUAACUUCGU